AUUGAACGCUGGCGGCAUGUCUUACACAUGCAAGUCGAACGGCAGCACGGGAGCAAUCCUGGUGGCGAGUGGCGAACGGGUGAGUAAAGUAUCGGAACGUGCCCAGUCGUGGGGGAUAACGUAGCGAAAGUUACGCUAAUACCGCAUACGAUCUAUGGAUGAAAGCGGGGGAUCGCAAGACCUCGCGCGAUUGGAGCGGCCGAUAUCAGAUUAGGUAGUGGGUGGGGUAAAGGCUCACCAAGCCGACGAUCUGGAGCUGGUCUGAGAGGACGACCAGCCACACUGGGACUGAGACACGGCCCAGACUCCUACGGGAGGCAGCAGUGGGGAAUUUUGGACAAUGGGCGAAAGCCUGAUCCAGCCAUGCCGCGUGCAGGAUGAAGGCCUUCGGGUUGUAAACUGCUUUUGUACGGAACGAAAAGGUUUGGCCUAAUAAGCUGAGCUCAUGACGGUACCGUAAGAAUAAGCACCGGCUAACUACGUGCCAGCCGCCGCAGUAA
RNAcentral lists this ribosomal RNA (500 nucleotides) under uncultured bacterium. Its description in RNAcentral is "partial 16S ribosomal RNA". It matches the Rfam family "Bacterial small subunit ribosomal RNA", at positions 30 to 523 of the family's 1533-position model. The record is from RNAcentral.